AUUGAACGCUGGCGGCAGGCUUAACACAUGCAAGUCGAACGAUGAAGUCUAGCUUGCUAGACGGAUUAGUGGCGAACGGGUGAGUAAUGCUUAGGAAUCUGCCUAUUAGUGGGGGAUAACGUAGGGAAACUUACGCUAAUACCGCAUACGACCUACGGGUGAAAGGGGGCUUUUAGCUCUCGCUAAUAGAUGAGCCUAAGUCGGAUUAGCUAGUUGGUGGGGUAAAGGCCUACCAAGGCGACGAUCUGUAGCUGGUCUGAGAGGAUGAUCAGCCACACUGGGACUGAGACACGGCCCAGACUCCUACGGGAGGCAGCAGUGGGGAAUAUUGGACAAUGGGCGAAAGCCUGAUCCAGCCAUGCCGCGUGUGUGAAGAAGGCCUUUUGGUUGUAAAGCACUUUAGGUGGGGAGGAAAAGCUUAUGGUUAAUACCCAUAAGCCCUGACGUUACCCACAGAAUAGGCACCGGCUAACUACGUGCCAGCAGCCGCGGUAAUACGUAGGGUGCGAGCGUUGUCCGGAAUUACUGGGCGUAAAGGGCUCGUAGGUGGUUUGUCGCGUCGUCUGUGAAAUUCUGGGGCUUAACUCCGGGCGUGCAGGCGAUACGGGCAUAACUUGAGUGCUGUAGGGGUAACUGGAAUUCCUGGUGUAGCGGUGAAAUGCGCAGAUAUCAGGAGGAACACCGAUGGCGAAGGCAGGUUACUGGGCAGUUACUGACGCUGAGGAGCGAAAGCAUGGGUAGCGAACAGGAUUAGAUACCCUGGUAGUCCAUGCCGUAAACGGUGGGCGCUAGGUGUGAGGGUCUUUCUACGACUUUCGUGCCGUAGCUAACGCAUUAAGCGCCCCGCCUGGGAGUACGGCCGCAAGGCUAAAACUCAAAGGAAUUGACGGGGGCCCGCACAAGCGGCGGAGCAUGUGGAUUAAUUCGAUGCAACGCGAAGAACCUUACCUGGGCUUGACAUACACCAGAUUGGGCUAGAGAUAGUUCGUCCCUUUGUGGUUGGUGUACAGGUGGUGCAUGGUUGUCGUCAGCUCGUGUCGUGAGAUGUUGGGUUAAGUCCCGCAACGAGCGCAACCCUUGUCUUAUGUUGCCAGCAUUUGGUUGGGGACUCAUGAGAGACUGCCGGGGUUAACUCGGAGGAAGGUGGGGAUGACGUCAAAUCAUCAUGCCCCUUAUGUCCAGGGCUUCACACAUGCUACAAUGGUCGGUACAACGCGCUGCGGCACUGUGAGGUGGAGCGAAUCGCUGAAAGCCGGCCUUAGUUCGGAUUGGGGUCUGCAACCCGACCCCAUGAAGUCGGAGUCGCUAGUAAUCGCAGAUCAGCAAUGCUGCGGUGAAUACGUUCCCGGGCCU
This 1353-nucleotide ribosomal RNA is filed under the name uncultured bacterium. Its description in RNAcentral is "partial 16S ribosomal RNA". It matches the Rfam family "Bacterial small subunit ribosomal RNA", at positions 28 to 1381 of the family's 1533-position model. The record is from RNAcentral.